This 422-nucleotide long non-coding RNA is filed under the name Anser cygnoides (Swan goose). Its description in RNAcentral is "lncRNA (ENSACDG00005013584.1)". Lineage: Eukaryota; Metazoa; Chordata; Aves; Anseriformes; Anatidae. The record is from RNAcentral.
GGAGUGUUGUGAGGAUUGAAUAUAGUUGUAGGACAGAGGAGAGGUGAAGUACAUGCAGUGCAGGUUUCUCUUCACAGCAACCUGCCCCAGUUGUGAUGUCACAAUGUGAUGGGUUUCUGCUUCCAAGGCAGUAUCUCAGCCCAAUAUCAUGGGCUCUAGCCAUUAUAGAGGCAGAAUUGUGGACCAGAUGGAAGUUUACCCUGACUUGGUAGGGCCACCUCUGUGUUACUGCAGUGAAACGCAAAUAUCAGACUUCCAGAAUAUGGAGGUUUUUCUUCAUAAGGACAGACCAACAAAAUCAAAAUGUGAUUGAACUGAAACAUCAUGCAUAAUGUUAGUAUUAUGUAAAACAACUUUUUGAAACCAUAGCCAAGAAAAUGAAUGAAAAUAAAGUAUAUCCUGUAUUUUUGGCUUCCCUAGGG